UAUGAAUAUGAUUUAUCAUCCCUUUUUUUCAUUUAAAAGUUGUAUUAAAAGUACAGUUUUGUAGGUUCUCAAACAAAAUUGUUUCUACUUGCAUACAGUCCUCAAAUGAUUUUCUUCUGCCUGAGAGACAUGAGCCCUUAGCUGAAAUAGGUUUGCCAUUCCAACUUUAAAAAUAAUGUUUGAAGUUAUAUUCUAAAACAAUAUUUAGAAAAUCCACAUUAAUGCUAAUGCCAGAGCCAUUCCUACAGUAAUGCAAUGAUAUUGUAUGUAAUGUGUGAUGAAUGUUAGUAGCCUUGCAACUCAAAAUAAACCGGGUUUUGUUUCAUUUUGUUUUUUCUCAAAGAAAACUCUCAUUUUCCUAAUGUUUCCCACCAGAUACUAUAAGCACUACAACUAUGGACAGAACAAGUACCAGCAAAAAUGAAUCUAAUGUGAGAAUUCUGGGAUCAAAGACCUCCACAGAACAACAAGGAACUAGAGGAAGUCAGCUUGACGAUGUAGGAGGGAGGCUCUUGUAUCUGAGGUCACUGCCAGAUGAAGCUCUGAAGGAUUAGAAGGCUUUCACUCCAUUUGCUUUGGGCAACCAUUUGUGUUCAUUAAAAUCUCUCAAACCUUUGC
RNAcentral lists this long non-coding RNA (618 nucleotides) under Mustela putorius furo (domestic ferret). RNAcentral describes it as "lncRNA (ENSMPUG00000027873.1)". Lineage: Eukaryota; Metazoa; Chordata; Mammalia; Carnivora; Mustelidae. The record is from RNAcentral.